GACGAACGCUGGCGGCGUGCCUAAUACAUGCAAGUAGAACGCUGAAGGAGGAGCUUGCUUCUCUGGAUGAGUUGCGAACGGGUGAGUAACGCGUGGUAACCUGCCUGGUAGCGGGGGAUAACUAUUGGAAACGAUAGCUAAUACCGCAUAAUAGUAGAUGUCGCAUGACAUUUGCUUAAAAGGUGCAAUUGCAUCACUACCAGAUGGACCUGCGUUGUAUUAGCUAGUUGGUGAGGUAACGGCUCACCAAGGCAACGAUACAUAGCCGACCUGAGAGGGUGAUCGGCCACACUGGGACUGAGACACGGCCCAGACUCCUACGGGAGGCAGCAGUAGGGAAUCUUCGGCAAUGGACGGAAGUCUGACCGAGCAACGCCGCGUGAGUGAAGAAGGUUUUCGGAUCGUAAAGCUCUGUUGUAAGAGAAGAACGAGUGUGAGAGUGGAAAGUUCACACUGUGACGGUAUCUUACCAGAAAGGGACGGCUAACUACGUG
Molecule: ribosomal RNA, 494 nt
Filed under: uncultured bacterium
Lineage: Bacteria
Description: partial 16S ribosomal RNA
Rfam family: Bacterial small subunit ribosomal RNA
Source: RNAcentral